AUGCCGCGUGCAGGAAGACUGCCCUAUGGGUUGUAAACUGCUUUUUUACGGGAAGAAACACCCCCACGUGUGGGGGCUUGACGGUACCGUACGAAUAAGGACCGGCUAACUCCGUGCCAGCAGCCGCGGUAAUACGGAGGGUCCGAGCGUUAUCCGGAAUCAUUGGGUUUAAAGGGUCCGUAGGCGGGCGUCUAAGUCAGUGGUGAAAUCCCGCAGCUCAACUGUGGAAUUGCCAUUGAUACUGGUCGCCUUGAAUUAGUGUGAAGUGGCUAGAAUAUGUAGUGUAGCGGUGAAAUGCUUAGAUAUUACAUAGAAUACCGAUUGCGAAGGCAGGUCACUAACACUAUAUUGACGCUGAUGGACGAAAGCGUGGGGAGCGAACAGGAUUAGAUACCCUGGUAGUCCACGCCGUAAACGAUGGAUACUAGCUGUCCGGCCUGCAUUGGUAGGCUGGGUGGCCAAGCGAAAGUGAUAAGUAUCCCACCUGGGGAGUACGUUCGCAAGAAUGAAACUCAAAGGAAUUGACGGGGGCCCGCACAAGCGGUGGAGCAUGUGGUUUAAUUCGAUGAUACGCGAGGAACCUUACCAGGGCUUAAAUGUAGUCUGACAGGGGUGGAAACACCCCCUUCUUCGGACAGACUGCAAGGUGCUGCAUGGUUGUCGUCAGCUCGUGCCGUGAGGUGUCAGGUUAAGUCCUAUA
RNAcentral lists this ribosomal RNA (700 nucleotides) under Aequorivita vladivostokensis. Its description in RNAcentral is "bacterial SSU rRNA". It matches the Rfam family "Bacterial small subunit ribosomal RNA", at positions 394 to 1091 of the family's 1533-position model. Lineage: Bacteria; Pseudomonadati; Bacteroidota; Flavobacteriia; Flavobacteriales; Flavobacteriaceae. The record is from RNAcentral.